This 468-nucleotide ribosomal RNA is filed under the name uncultured bacterium. RNAcentral describes it as "partial 16S ribosomal RNA". It matches the Rfam family "Bacterial small subunit ribosomal RNA", at positions 28 to 507 of the family's 1533-position model. The record is from RNAcentral.
GACGAACGCUGGCGGCGUGCUUAACACAUGCAAGUCGAACGGAAAGGCCCUGCUUUUGUGGGGUGCUCGAUUGGCGAACGGGUGAGUAACACGUGAGUAACCUGCCCUUGACUUUGGGAUAACUUCAGGAAACUGGGGCUAAUACCGGAUAUGAGCUCCUGCUGCAUGGUGGGGGUUGGAAAGUUUCGGCGGUUGGGGAUGGACUCGCGGCUUAUCAGCUUGUUGGUGGGGUAGUGGCUUACCAAGGCUUUGACGGGUAGCCGGCCUGAGAGGGUGACCGGCCACAUUGGGACUGAGAUACGGCCCAGACUCCUACGGGAGGCAGCAGUGGGGAAUAUUGCACAAUGGGCGGAAGCCUGAUGCAGCAACGCCGCGUGCGGGAUAACGGCCUUCGGGUUGUAAACCGAUUUCGCCUGUGACGAAGCGUGAGUGACGGUAAUGGGUAAAGAAGCACCGGCUAACUACGUG